CAUUCGGAAACGGCGCUAAUACCGCAUAAUAUCUUCUUCCGCAUGGAAGAAGAUUGAAAGACGGCUCUGCUGUCACUUAUAGAUGACCUUGCGGUGCAUUAGUUAGUUGGUGGGGGUUAAACGGCCUACCAAGACGAUGAUGCAUAGCCGACCUGAGAGGUGAUCGGCCACAUUUGGGACUGAGACACGGCCCAAACUCCUACGGGAGGCAGCAGUAGGGAAUCUUCCGCAAUGGGCGAAAGCCUGACGGAGCAAUGCCGCGUGAGUGAAGAAGGCCUUCGGGUCGUAAAACUCUGUUAUAAGAGAAGAACAAAUUGUAGAGUAACUGCUACAGUCUUGACGGUAUCUUAUCAGAAAGCCACGGCUAACUACGUG
This 375-nucleotide ribosomal RNA is filed under the name uncultured bacterium. Its description in RNAcentral is "bacterial SSU rRNA". It matches the Rfam family "Bacterial small subunit ribosomal RNA", at positions 147 to 507 of the family's 1533-position model. The record is from RNAcentral.